GACAGGGGGUGCAAACGUUGCUCGGAAUCACUGGGCGUAAAGCGCACGUAGGCGGUCGUGUAAGUCGGGUGUGAAAGCCCUUGGCUCAACCAAGGAACAGCACCCGAUACUGCAUGGCUUGAGGACGGGAGGGGAGAGUGGAACUCUUGGUGGAGCGGUGAAAUGCGUAGAUAUCAGGAGGAACACCGGUGGCGAAAGCGACUCUCUGGUCCGUUCCUGACGCUGAGGUGCGAAAGCUAGGGGAGCAAACAGG
RNAcentral lists this ribosomal RNA (253 nucleotides) under uncultured bacterium. RNAcentral describes it as "partial 16S ribosomal RNA". It matches the Rfam family "Bacterial small subunit ribosomal RNA", at positions 524 to 776 of the family's 1533-position model. The record is from RNAcentral.